This 74-nucleotide transfer RNA is filed under the name Phycisphaera sp. It matches the Rfam family "tRNA". Rfam says of the family: Transfer RNA (tRNA) molecules are approximately 80 nucleotides in length. Their secondary structure includes four short double-helical elements and three loops (D, anti-codon, and T loops). RNAcentral also lists the same sequence under 1 other name. Lineage: Bacteria; Pseudomonadati; Planctomycetota; Phycisphaerae; Phycisphaerales; Phycisphaeraceae. The record is from Rfam by way of RNAcentral.
GCGGGCGUAGCUCAAUUGGAUAGAGCACCUGACUACGGAUCAGGAGGUUAGGGGUUCGACUCCUCUCGCCCGUG